UACGGGGGGGGCAAGCGUUGUUCGGAAUUACUGGGCGUAAAGGGCUCGUAGGCGGUCUGUCACGUCGGGAGUGAAAACUCAGGGCUUAACCCUGAGCCUGCUUCCGAUACGGGCAGACUAGAGGUAUGCAGGGGAGAACGGAAUUCCUGGUGUAGCGGUGAAAUGCGCAGAUAUCAGGAGGAACACCGGUGGCGAAGGCGGGUCUCUGGGCCGAUACUGACGCUGAGGAGCGAAAGCGUGGGGAGCAAACAGG
This 253-nucleotide ribosomal RNA is filed under the name uncultured bacterium. RNAcentral describes it as "partial 16S ribosomal RNA". It matches the Rfam family "Bacterial small subunit ribosomal RNA", at positions 524 to 776 of the family's 1533-position model. The record is from RNAcentral.